ACCGGCGCACGGGUGAGUAACGCGUAUCCAACCUGGCCCUUAGUAGAGAAUAGCCCGGCGAAAGUCGGAUUAAUGCUCUAUGUUCUUCUUUGAUGGCAUCUGACGAGAAGCAAAGGUUUACCGCUAAGGGAUGGGGAUGCGUCUGAUUAGGUUGUUGGCGGGGUAACGGCCCACCAAGCCUUCGAUCAGUAGGGGUUCUGAGAGGAAGGUCCCCCACAUUGGUACUGAGACACGGACCAAACUCCUACGGGAGGCAGCAGUGAGGAAUAUUGGUCAAUGGGCGAGAGCCUGAACCAGCCAAGUAGCGUGCAGGAUGACUCGCCCUAGUGGGUUGUAAACUGUCUUUUAGUAGGGGGAUAAAGGUGGGGAACGUGUUCCUUUUUGUAUGUACCCUAUGAAUAAGGACCGGCUAAUUCCGUGCCAGCAGCCGC
RNAcentral lists this ribosomal RNA (431 nucleotides) under uncultured bacterium. RNAcentral describes it as "bacterial SSU rRNA". It matches the Rfam family "Bacterial small subunit ribosomal RNA", at positions 94 to 518 of the family's 1533-position model. The record is from RNAcentral.